This 306-nucleotide ribosomal RNA is filed under the name uncultured bacterium. RNAcentral's name for it is "partial 16S ribosomal RNA". It matches the Rfam family "Bacterial small subunit ribosomal RNA", at positions 505 to 809 of the family's 1533-position model. The record is from RNAcentral.
GACAGCAGUAGCCACGGUAAUGCGUAGGUGGCAAGCGUUGUCCGGAAUUAUUGGGCGUAAAGCGCGCGCAGGCGGAUCAGUCAGUCUGUCUUAAAAGUUCGGGGCUUAACCCCGUGAUGGGAUGGAAACUGCUGAUCUAGAGUAUCGGAGAGGAAAGUGGAAUUCCCAGUGUAGCGGUGAAAUGCGUAGAUAUUAGGAAGAACACCAGUGGCGAAGGCGACUUUCUGGACGAAAACUGACGCUGAGGCGCGAAAGCCAGGGGAGCGAACGGGAUUAGAUACCCGAGUAGUCCCUGUCUCUUAUACA